AACCAUUUUGAUAACAGAGCGAACUAUUCUUUCGCCUUUUACUAAAGAAUACCGUGUGCGCAUCGCAAAUAGUGGUAUACGCCAAUUUUAUUGAUAGAAAAAUACUUUUGAU
This 112-nucleotide small nuclear RNA is filed under the name Nicotiana attenuata. Its description in RNAcentral is "snRNA U5". It matches the Rfam family "U5 spliceosomal RNA". From Rfam's summary of the family: U5 RNA is a component of both types of known spliceosome. The precise function of this molecule is unknown, though it is known that the 5' loop is required for splice site selection and p220 binding, and that both the 3' stem-loop and the Sm site are important for Sm protein binding and cap methylation. Lineage: Eukaryota; Viridiplantae; Streptophyta; Magnoliopsida; Solanales; Solanaceae. The record is from RNAcentral.